This 468-nucleotide ribosomal RNA is filed under the name uncultured bacterium. Its description in RNAcentral is "partial 16S ribosomal RNA". It matches the Rfam family "Bacterial small subunit ribosomal RNA", at positions 28 to 507 of the family's 1533-position model. The record is from RNAcentral.
GACGAACGCUGGCGGCGUGCUUAACACAUGCAAGUCGAACGGAAAGGCCUUGCUCUUGUGGGGUGCUGGAGUGGCGAACGGGUGAGUCUCCCGUGAGUAACCUGCCCUUGACUUUGGGCUACCUUCAGGACACUGGGGCUAAUACCGCAUAGGAGGUCCUGCUGCCGGGUGGGGGUUGGCAUGUUACGGCGGUUGGGGAUGGACUCGCGGCUUAUCAGCUUGUUGGUGGGGGAGUGGCUUACCAAGGCUUUGACGGGUAGCCGGCCUGAGAGGGUGACCGGCCGCAAUACGACUGAGAUGCGGCCCAGACUCCUACGGGAGGCGGCAGUGGUGAGUAAUGCACAAUAGGCGGAGACCGGAUGCAGCAGCGCCGCGUGCGGGAGGACGGCCUUCGAGUUGUAGACCACUUUCGCCUGUGACGAAGCGUGAGUGACGGUAAUGGGUAAAGAAGCACCGGCUAACUACGUG